RNAcentral lists this ribosomal RNA (629 nucleotides) under uncultured bacterium. Its description in RNAcentral is "bacterial SSU rRNA". It matches the Rfam family "Bacterial small subunit ribosomal RNA", at positions 93 to 740 of the family's 1533-position model. The record is from RNAcentral.
GAGUGGCGGACGGGUGAGUAACACAUGGGAACCUACCCACCAGUGAGGGAUACCGGCGCGAAAGCGCCGACAAGCCCGCAUACGCUUCCCCUUUGCGAGGGGAAGGAAAGCUCUUUCGGGGGCGCUGGGAGAUGGGCCUGUGGCCGAUUAGCUAGUUGGUGUGGUAAAAGCGCACCAAGGCGACGAUCGGUAGCUGGUCUGAGAGGACGAGCAGCCACACUGGGAUUGAGAACGGCCCAGACUCCUACGGGGGGCAGCAGUGAGGAAUUUUCCGCAAUGGAGGGAACUCUGACGGAGCAACGCCGCGUGCAGGACGACGCGUUUCGGCGUGUAAACUGCUUUUCUGUGGGAAGAGCAAGGACGGUACCACAGGAAGAGGCCCCGGCUAACUACGUGCCAGCAGCCGCGGUAAGACGUAGGGGGCGAGCGUUGUCCGGAGUUACUGGGCGUAAAGGGCCCGCAGGCGGGAGGGUGCGUUUGGUGUGACAGCUCGUGGCUUCACUACGAGAGGAUACCAAAGACGGCCGUUCUUGAGGGCCAGAGAGGGACCUGGAAGUCCGGGUGGAGCGGUGAAAUGCGUAGAGAUCCGGAGGAACACCGAAAGCGAAGGCAGGGUCCUGGCUGGUACC